Molecule: ribosomal RNA, 746 nt
Filed under: uncultured prokaryote
Description: bacterial SSU rRNA
Rfam family: Archaeal small subunit ribosomal RNA
Source: RNAcentral
GCAUUGCUAUUGGGGUUCGACUAAGAAUGCUAGUCGACCACCGCCCCUUCGGGGGCGGAGGGGCGAACGGCUCAGUAACACGUGGCUAACCUGCCCUCGCGUGGGAAAUAACCUCGGGAAACUGAGGCUAAUGUCCCAUAGGGGAGGAUGUCUGGAAUGACGCCUCCCUGAAAGCUCCGGCGCGCGAGGAUGGGGCUGCGGCCGAUUAGGUAGUAGGUGGUGUAACGGACCACCUAGCCGACGAUCGGUACGGGCCGUGGGAGCGGGAGCCCGGAGACGGGUACUGAGACAAGGACCUGGGCCCUAAGGGGCGCAGCAUUCGCGAAAACUCCGCAAUGCGCGAAAGCGUGACGGGGGAACCCCAAGUGCCAACACAACGUGUUGGCUUUUCUGGAGUGUAAAAAGCUCCAGGAAUAAGGGCUGGGUAAGACCGGUGCCAGCCGCCGCGGUAACACCGGCAGCCCGAGUGAUGUCCGCGUUUAUUGGGCUCAAAGCGUCCGUAGCCGGCCUGCUAAGUCCCCGGUCAAAUCCGGCGGCUUAACCGUUGGUUAUCUGGGGAUACUGGCAGGCUUGAGGCCGGGAGGGGUCAGAGGUACUCCUGGGGUAGGGGUAAAAUCCGAUAAUCCCAGGGGGACCACCAGUGGCGAAGGCGUCUGACUGGAACGGGCCUGACGGUGAGGGACGAAACCCUGGGGAGCGAUCCGGAUUAGAUACCCGGGUAGUCCAGGGCGUAAACGAUGUGGGCU